GCUGUCACCUGUGCUCUCAAGGGGGG
RNAcentral lists this unclassified non-coding RNA (26 nucleotides) under Mus musculus (house mouse). RNAcentral describes it as "oocyte_clustered_small_RNA2720". The record is from RNAcentral. Lineage: Eukaryota; Metazoa; Chordata; Mammalia; Rodentia; Muridae.